GACGGAGGAUGCAAGCGUUAUCCGGAAUGAUUGGGCGUAAAGCGUCCGCAGGUGGCUGUGUAAGUCUGCUGUCAAAGAGCGAAGCUCAACUUCGUAAAGGCAGUGGAAACUACACGGCUAGAGUGCGUUCGGGGCAGAGGGAAUUCCUGGUGUAGCGGUGAAAUGCGCAGAUAUCAGGAAGAACACCCGUGGCGAAGGCGGCUCUCUGGGACGGUACUAACGCUGAGACGCGAAAGCGUGGGGAGCGAACAGG
RNAcentral lists this ribosomal RNA (253 nucleotides) under uncultured bacterium. RNAcentral describes it as "partial 16S ribosomal RNA". It matches the Rfam family "Bacterial small subunit ribosomal RNA", at positions 524 to 776 of the family's 1533-position model. The record is from RNAcentral.